This 328-nucleotide ribosomal RNA is filed under the name uncultured eukaryote. Its description in RNAcentral is "partial 18S ribosomal RNA". It matches the Rfam family "Eukaryotic small subunit ribosomal RNA", at positions 1470 to 1796 of the family's 1831-position model. The record is from RNAcentral.
CCCUUAGAUGUCCGGGGCUGCACGCGCGCUACACUGAAGGAAUCAGCGUGCUAAAACCAUUGUCGAAAGGCAUUGGUAAACCCAUUAAAAUCCUACGUGAUUGGGAUCGGGAAUUGCAAUUAUUUCCCUUGAACGAGGAAUUCCCAGCAAGUGUGGGUCAUAAGCUCGCGUUGAUUACGUCCCUGCCCUUUGUACACACCGCCCGUCGCUGCCCGGGACUGAGCCGUUUCGAGAAAAGCGGGGACUGCUGCUGUCGGGGCUUUCGGGCCUUGGCUUCGGUGGAAACCGCUUUAAUCGCAGUGGCUUGAACCGGGCAAAANUCGUAACA